Molecule: ribosomal RNA, 481 nt
Filed under: uncultured bacterium
Lineage: Bacteria
Description: bacterial SSU rRNA
Rfam family: Bacterial small subunit ribosomal RNA
Source: RNAcentral
GAUGAACGCUAGCGGCAGGCCUAACACAUGCAAGUCGAGGGGUAUAUUGAGCUUGCUUAAUAGAGACCGGCGCACGGGUGAGUAACGCGUAUGCAACCUACCUUCUACAGGGGAAUAGCCCGAAGAAAUUCGGAUUAAUGCUCCAUGGUUUAAUUGGAUGGCAUCAUCUGAUUAAUAAAGAUUUAUCGGUAGAAGAUGGGCAUGCGUAUCAUUAGCUAGUUGGUGUGGUAACGGCAUACCAAGGCGACGAUGAUUAGGGGUCCUGAGAGGGAGAUCCCCCACACUGGUACUGAGACACGGACCAGACUCCUACGGGAGGCAGCAGUGAGGAAUAUUGGUCAAUGGAGGCAACUCUGAACCAGCCAUGCCGCGUGCAGGAUGACGGUCCUAUGGAUUGUAAACUGCUUUUGUACAGGAAGAAACCUCGCUACGUGUAGUGAUUUGACGGUACUGUAAGAAUAAGGAUCGGCUAACUCCGUGC